This 279-nucleotide ribosomal RNA is filed under the name uncultured bacterium. Its description in RNAcentral is "partial 16S ribosomal RNA". It matches the Rfam family "Bacterial small subunit ribosomal RNA", at positions 506 to 784 of the family's 1533-position model. The record is from RNAcentral.
UGCCAGCCGCCGCGGUAAUACGAAGGGGGCUAGCGUUGUUCGGAAUUACUGGGCGUAAAGCGUACGUAGGCGGAUUAGAAAGUUAGGGGUGAAAUCCCAGGGCUCAACCCUGGAACUGCCUCUAAAACUCCUAAUCUUGAGUUCGAGAGAGGUGAGUGGAAUUCCGAGUGUAGAGGUGAAAUUCGUAGAUAUUCGGAGGAACACCAGUGGCGAAGGCGGCUCACUGGCUCGAUACUGACGCUGAGGUACGAAAGCGUGGGGAGCAAACAGGAUUAGAUA